CCUACGGGUGGCAGCAGUGGGGAAUAUUGGACAAUGGGGGGAACCCUGAUCCAGCCAUGCCGCGUGUGUGAAGAAGGCCCUCGGGUUGUAAAGCACUUUCAGUGAGGAAGAACGCCUGGUGGUUAAUACCCAUCAGGAAAGACAUCACUCACAGAAGAAGCACCGGCUAACUCCGUGCCAGCAGCCGCGGUAAUACGGAGGGUGCGAGCGUUAAUCGGAAUUACUGGGCGUAAAGCGCGCGUAGGUGGCUUGAUAAGCCGGUUGUGAAAGCCCCGGGCUCAACCUGGGAACGGCAUCCGGAACUGUGAAGCUAGAGUGCCGGAGAGGAAGGUAGAAUUCCCGGUGUAGCGGUGAAAUGCGUAGAGAUCGGGAGGAAUACCAGUGGCGAAGGCGGCCUUCUGGACUGACACUGACACUGAGGUGCGAAAGCGUGGGUAGCAAACAGGAUUAGAUACCCCAGUAGUC
Molecule: ribosomal RNA, 465 nt
Filed under: Vreelandella stevensii
Lineage: Bacteria; Pseudomonadati; Pseudomonadota; Gammaproteobacteria; Oceanospirillales; Halomonadaceae
Description: partial 16S ribosomal RNA
Rfam family: Bacterial small subunit ribosomal RNA
Source: RNAcentral